GGUUGUUGAGUCAAGACAUAAGAGUUUGAGCUUUAUCUACUCUUCUCUGAGUAGUUAAGCAAAGCAGUGGUUGAUGGUGCUUUACCUGGCACACUAGGUUCAGAGACCUCAGUAACACACUGGCUCUGAAUCCAGUAGUCUUGGAAGCAGGCGAAAAAACAAAUGUUGCUACUCAAAUUGUCUCUCAUCUGCUAAGACGCACAGCAUGAGCUGUUAGGCUAUGAAUUGGUAGAAAAUUAGUUUGGCUCAGAAAUGUAGCAGUAAGGGUUUCUCCUCUUCUGUCACCUGCUCCUGACCAAGAAGCUUUCAACCAACUAGACAUUAUUGUCAUAGGUGUGGUCUUGGGUUGGUGGUUCUUCUACAGGGCCACUUGAAGGUGAAAGAGUUCUCUCCCAAAAACGUGAAGGAUAUGUUGUUAAUUGGGUAUACAUACAACAAAGUUCUAGCAGAGGAGAAGAAAUCUAAAGCUGAGGAAACGGCUUACGAAAAAUCUUGGGAAAUGGCUGAGGAGAAAUCUGAGGUUGUGGCAAAGAAGGAUGAGUAAUUCCAAUGGGGGAGUAACUUGGAAAGUAGUUGAAUAAGUAUCAAUCAGUUUCCACCUUUGUAUCGAGUAGAGUCUAGUUGUAUCAUAUUUUUGAAAUAGCAAG
Molecule: long non-coding RNA, 647 nt
Filed under: Brassica rapa (field mustard)
Lineage: Eukaryota; Viridiplantae; Streptophyta; Magnoliopsida; Brassicales; Brassicaceae
Description: long non-coding RNA (BRAP_LNC007045)
Source: RNAcentral